ACGCUCGACACCUACGGGUGGCAGCAGUUGGGAAUAUUGGACAAUGGAGGAAACUCUGAUCCAGUGACGCCGCGUGAAGGAAGAAGGUCUUCGGAUUGUAAACUUAUUUUGUCAGGGAAGAAAAAAUGACUGUACCUGAAGAAAAAGCACCGGCUAACUACGUGCCAGCAGCCGCGGUAAUCUGAGCGGGCUGGCAAGGC
RNAcentral lists this ribosomal RNA (200 nucleotides) under uncultured bacterium. RNAcentral's name for it is "partial 16S ribosomal RNA". It matches the Rfam family "Bacterial small subunit ribosomal RNA", at positions 328 to 539 of the family's 1533-position model. The record is from RNAcentral.